AAUGUACCCUAGUACAAUUUAUUUGACAGUACUGUAUCUCUUACUAGUUUAAAUAUGAAAUCCUUGCUCGAAUCCCACUGAAAAAAGGAACCAUUCUGGAGUAGUCCUAAUUAUCGGCAACACUUCAUUUUAAGGGAUCAUGUAAUUACACUGUAGCAGGUAUUACAAUGAAUUGUAAUAAUUCAGUUACACUGUAAUAACAACAUGUAAUUAAUUGGUGGUAGUCUGUAAUUACAGGGAUGUAACAACGGAAUGCUUGUUACCAUGCUUGUUACAAAUGUUAAAGUUUCCCGAAAGCAUCUCAAUACCCGAAUUUCAGCCUUCCGAAGUGAUUGCCACAAGGUUUCAGACGUCAGGAUGGGAAAAUGCUUACAAGAAAGAAACAGAGUUGUCAGAGACAGAGUUGGCAACUUCCAUUGUUACUUGUAAUGUCAAAAAGGGAAGAAAAAGACAAUCCCAUUUUUCUAAAUUAGCUAUCUAAGCUACUUACCGUACUAUAGGCUAAAGAUUUGAGACAUCACUAGAAUAGUUAUUUUUAUGUUAUUGAGAAAGCCUAUGUAUCUUUGUUUAAUCCAAUUAAUCUAUUAAUCUAACAAUAAAAUGUUGCAAUAAAGUUGACUAAAAUAGAAACUCAUCUUUUAUUUGUAAGUAUUUUUACUUGUUAAUGAGUAAUAAGUAAUAAUAUAGAAAUUGCUCAAAGGUAACUAUAAAGUUACACUUCACUUUAACACUUUAAAUAGCAAAAUCCUGUGUAACAACUAGCGACAACCUUGUACUUUUGCAGAUAUUACAGAUAUGUACUCUUUUGUGAAGGAAAUUUUACUUUGUGUAUCUUGUCUUUGGUGUCAUAAACAAUCCUUGAUUCCUACCUAUGUCUGGUAGAGAUAUGGGGGGGCAUCAUGACCUCCUCCUUUAUACUAUUUGGCAGAACGCCCAGAAUAUGUUCAAUAAAUUAAGAUAGGAGAUGGUGCCAGACACAUGGAACCAACCCUAUAAACUAUGCAUGCCUAUCUAACGUGUCUGUAACCAGUAUAUAAGGGAACAAAACAGGAUUGUCCCGUUAGAGCUCCUGACAGACAUGUACAUAUGGUGCAUUGAGUUGGUUGGAACCUCUCCAGCG
This 1120-nucleotide long non-coding RNA is filed under the name Salmo salar (Atlantic salmon). RNAcentral describes it as "lncRNA (ENSSSAG00000115753.1)". The record is from RNAcentral. Lineage: Eukaryota; Metazoa; Chordata; Actinopteri; Salmoniformes; Salmonidae.